AUCCAGCUCCAAUAGCGUAUAUUAAAGUUGUUGCAGUUAAAAAGCUCGUAGUUGGAUUUCGGAAGGUCUUUAGUGGUCCGCCCCUUCGGGGAGCGGGUCACUGGCCUCCUAUGUUCCUAACGGUCCUCAUCCGCGAGGGUGGGGAAUCAACCGCUAGGAUCGUUUACUUUGAGGAAAUUAGAGUGUUCAAAGCAGGCGUAACUCGCCUCCGAAUACGUUAGCAUGGGAUAAUGGAAUACGACUUCGGUCUUGUUUCGUUGGUUUCGCUUGGCUGAAGUAAUGAUUGAUAGGGACAGUUGGGGGCAUUAGUAUUUAGUUGUCAGAGGUGAAAUUCUAGGAUUUACUAAAGACUGACCAAUGCGAAAGCAUUUGCCAAGGAUGUUUUCAUUAAUCAAGAACGAAAGUAGGGGGAUCGAAGACGAUCAGAUACCGUCGUAGUCUCUACCGUAAACUAUGCCGACCAGGGAUCCGGAGAGUUUGCAUGGAUGACUCCCCGGGCACCUUGUGAGAAAUCAUAAGUGUUUGGGUUUUGGGGGGAGUAUGGUCGCAAGGCUGAAACUUAAAGGAAUUGACGGAAGGGCACCACCAGGAGUGGAACCUGCGGCUUAAUUCGACUCAACA
This 621-nucleotide ribosomal RNA is filed under the name uncultured Vermamoeba. RNAcentral's name for it is "SSU rRNA". It matches the Rfam family "Eukaryotic small subunit ribosomal RNA", at positions 583 to 1205 of the family's 1831-position model. Lineage: Eukaryota; Tubulinea; Elardia; Euamoebida; Hartmannellidae. The record is from RNAcentral.